Molecule: small nuclear RNA, 23 nt
Filed under: Arabidopsis thaliana (thale cress)
Lineage: Eukaryota; Viridiplantae; Streptophyta; Magnoliopsida; Brassicales; Brassicaceae
Description: snRNA_04994
Source: RNAcentral
GUACACGUUUCUAAGAGACGACU